Molecule: non-coding RNA, 28 nt
Filed under: Homo sapiens (human)
Lineage: Eukaryota; Metazoa; Chordata; Mammalia; Primates; Hominidae
Source: RNAcentral
UGAGGAAAUAGUGCCCCCUGCUGCCCUC